UAGAAUGUGGUGUAUGAAGGUAGCACGAAGAAUUUUGAGUUCUUAGGACUAGGUUCGAAUCCUAUAGUUCUAGAA
This 75-nucleotide transfer RNA is filed under the name Sundasciurus lowii (Low's squirrel). Its description in RNAcentral is "tRNA-Gln". It matches the Rfam family "tRNA". From Rfam's summary of the family: Transfer RNA (tRNA) molecules are approximately 80 nucleotides in length. Their secondary structure includes four short double-helical elements and three loops (D, anti-codon, and T loops). Lineage: Eukaryota; Metazoa; Chordata; Mammalia; Rodentia; Sciuridae. The record is from RNAcentral.